GACAGAGGGUGCAAACGUUGCUCGGAAUCACUGGGCGUAAAGGGCGCGUAGGCGGGCUGUCAAGUCUGGGGUGAAAUCCCACGGCUCAACCGUGGAACUGCCUUAGAUACUGACGGCCUCGAGGGAGAUAGGGGCGAGCGGAACUGUGAGUGGAGCGGUGAAAUGCGUUGAUAUUCACAGGAACUCCGGUGGCGAAGGCGGCUCGCUGGAUCUUUUCUGACGCU
RNAcentral lists this ribosomal RNA (224 nucleotides) under uncultured bacterium. RNAcentral describes it as "partial 16S ribosomal RNA". It matches the Rfam family "Bacterial small subunit ribosomal RNA", at positions 524 to 747 of the family's 1533-position model. The record is from RNAcentral.